GUGCCUGCACCGAUUCGCCUCACGGCAGCCGAGAACAGACCGAACUGCAAACGCUCCGCGAGGCACCGUUACGCUCGCGAGACGCGGGAACGAGAGCAGGCGCCCCGGGAGAGCCGAGACAGCGCGAGCUUAAGGCCAGUUUCAGGAGCAGCUUCUCUGGGAUUCCUGGUGAAAACUUAAAAGAGGAGCCUUAGUGGGAUGAAUUACAGCCCCAGCUGCAGCAGCUCUCUGGGGAACACACUUGGCAUAGAAAAGAACUUAUUCACCAAAGCAAUGUCCACAUAAAGUGUACCUGAGGCUGUGUUCUUUUGCUCUAGCUAAGAUGCCCAAGCUGGUGUGGUGGCUGCAGGAGGACUACUCCUCGGGAGUCAGAGCCAAGUUUGAAAUGACUGCAGAAGGCCUCUGUGAAUAGUUUGAAUGAACAGACUGUUUCCUAAGAAGCCGAGAAAACAAAUCAGUACAAGCUGAAGUGGAAUCUGCUAUGAUCGUUACAGCUAAUGGUGGCAAAAACACGUGUGAAGCAGAACAAGGCUUAGACAAAUUUAAAAACUUAUGAAAAUAUAAGGUGUAUAAAGCCUGUAGUUAUUCACUGUAUUAUUUGUCAGCAGAUAUUUCAUUGCAAAUAUUUUAAAUCUAUCAUUUGUCACUGUCUCCAUGUCAAUGGUGAAAUUCACUCACUCUCAUGGACUCUUAUCAGUUCUGUGAUUGUUUAUUCUUUUUUUUAUUUUUUAAGUUAUGUAAGUGUGAUAACACAAUUAUAGGAGACUUGGAAAAUACAGAACAAAGUUGCAUCUAGUUCCACUAUAUAUUA
Long non-coding RNA from Bubalus bubalis (water buffalo), 811 nucleotides. RefSeq lists it as uncharacterized. Lineage: Eukaryota; Metazoa; Chordata; Mammalia; Artiodactyla; Bovidae. The record is from RefSeq and is a predicted model, not a curated record. The transcript is spliced from 4 exons.